CCGCUGUGCGACUCUUAACUUAUGGGCC
This 28-nucleotide non-coding RNA is filed under the name Bombyx mori (domestic silkworm). Lineage: Eukaryota; Metazoa; Arthropoda; Insecta; Lepidoptera; Bombycidae. The record is from RNAcentral.